This is a long non-coding RNA of Larimichthys crocea (large yellow croaker), 981 nucleotides long. RefSeq lists it as uncharacterized. The record is from RefSeq and is a predicted model, not a curated record. NCBI's taxonomy places the organism in Eukaryota, Metazoa, Chordata, Actinopteri, Sciaenidae. The transcript has 5 exons.
CAAUAUUUGUGCAUCAAAGCUACGAGUCUGGUUUUACAGUUUCCUUCCAACUGAUAUCAAAUGACAGCAGACUCAGGUGUCUCUAAUGGAGGGUUAAUGGCUCAUUAUACCAGUGUUAAUUAGCAGUAUUAACCAAGUGAAGCGGAAAUCACAUUCGGUACCAGAGUUAGUUCCUGUUAUUCACAGUGGUGCCCAGGAGCCAACUCAUUUCAUAUUAAUGUGUGAUAUUGCUGAUAUUGUUGGCGUAAAAGCACCCAAGUUCACUUGGAGUACAGUGCUGCUUUAAAGAGGGUGAUGCUGCUAUCUGUAAGAGGACAAACAUCUGACACACAGGGUGGGAAAUAGAAAAUUGACAAAACAGCCAUGAAUGUGUGAAGCAUAUGUGGAGACAAAAUCCAAUAAAAGAUCAGAAAAGUUUAAAGCAGUGCAAAACAAGCUCUCCUGGUCCCUCUCUCUUUCAUCUUUCAUCCCUCAGGUCAGCACCACAUCAGCCUGACACACCAAACACGCUGCCAAGGGAAAAACAGGAUGGACCACUGCUGAUGACGUCAUACCGUCGACUGCUAGGUGCUGACGGAGUGAUGGCCUGUGUAGGCAUGUGUUUGUCUCCAUGUGUGUUUUUCUCUCGCUCUUUGUCACACCUCCUCUCUUUGAGCUGAUGUGUAUACAUGGACACAAGUGAAGAUCUCAGCUUCUCUUGGCCUGUGCGCUGAUGGAUUUAGUAGGAUCUAGAGGGUGUGACGGAUGGAGUGACUUUGUUCAGCACCUGCCUUCUGUCGGCUCUCGUCUGGGUGGAAAAAAAAAGAAAGAAAACUGACUGAAAACUGUGUGUCAGAAGAAGAGAGAAGACGGAGGAGGAGGGAAAAUACACAAUGCCUCCUCAAGUACCAGUAGCGUCAGUGAUUGGCUUCAUUUUCAUUGUUGUGUCUGGUUGUCCUUCUUUAAAAAGCUGCCAAAACUAUGACGGAAGACCUCCUUGGU